CCUACGGGGGGCAGCAGUGAGGAAUAUUGGUCAAUGGGCGAGAGCCUGAACCAGCCAAGUCGCGUGAGGGAGUACUGCCCUAUGGGUUGUAAACCUCUUUUGUCGGGGAGCAAAAGCCGGACGUGUCCGGCUGUGAGAGUACCCGCAGAAAAAGCAUCGGCUAACUCCGUGCCAGCAGCCGCGGUAAUACGGAGGAUGCGGGCGUUAUCCGGAUUUAUUGGGUUUAGAGGGUGCGCAGGCGGAUUGUUAAGUCAGCGGGAAAAUCGUGGGGCUCAACCCCAUCCAGCCGUUGAAACUGGGGAUCUAGAGUGUGCGAGAGGUAUGCGGAAUGCGUGGUGUAGCGGUGAAAUGCAUAGAUAUCACGCAGAACCCCGAUUGCGAAGGCAGCAUACCGGUGCACAACUGACGCUCAGGCACGAAAGCGUGGGUAUCGAACAGGAUUAGAUACCCCAGUAGUC
Molecule: ribosomal RNA, 458 nt
Filed under: uncultured bacterium
Lineage: Bacteria
Description: partial 16S ribosomal RNA
Rfam family: Bacterial small subunit ribosomal RNA
Source: RNAcentral